This 252-nucleotide ribosomal RNA is filed under the name uncultured Bacteroidales bacterium. Its description in RNAcentral is "partial 16S ribosomal RNA". It matches the Rfam family "Bacterial small subunit ribosomal RNA", at positions 524 to 776 of the family's 1533-position model. Lineage: Bacteria; Pseudomonadati; Bacteroidota; Bacteroidia; Bacteroidales. The record is from RNAcentral.
UACGUAGGUGGCGAGCGUUAUCCGGAAUGAUUGGGCGUAAAGGGUGCGUAGGCGGCCUGCUAAGUCUGAAGUGAAAGCCCGUGGCUCAACCGCGGCCCGCCGUUGAAACUGGCAGUCUCGAGUUGGAGAGAAGUAUGCGGAAUGCGCGGUGUAGCGGUGAAAUGCAUAGAUAUCGCGCAGAACUCCGAUUGCGAAGGCAGCAUGCCGGCUCCACACUGACGCUGAGGCGCGAAAGCGUGGGGAGCAAACAGG